This 357-nucleotide ribosomal RNA is filed under the name Triticum aestivum (bread wheat). Its description in RNAcentral is "partial small subunit ribosomal RNA". Lineage: Eukaryota; Viridiplantae; Streptophyta; Magnoliopsida; Poales; Poaceae. The record is from RNAcentral.
AUGAUCAAUGACAUUAAACAUCAACGAGAAGAUUGGCUCGAGCAUAGGCCGGGCCACUCAAAUAGAGAAGCCGAGGGCAAAUCCUGGACACAAUUUUGGAAAGUGAAAGUUCCAUCAAAGGUCAAGGUUUUUGUUUGGAGGUUGGCACAUAUGUCUCUACCGACGGGUUCAGUACGACAUGAACGUAAAAUGGCGACAACCACUGCAUGCAGCCUAUGUGAAGAAGAGUUUGAUUUAUGGGGCCAUUCUUUGUUUGAAUGUCGGAUGGCGCGGUGCGUGUGGGCACUCGGAGAUGAGGAGAUUCUUGAGCAUGUGAUAUCUAACAAAAGUGAUGAUGCGAGGCUCUGGCUGUUCUAG